GCCUAAAGAGAAGCUUGCGGCUGAUUAGCUUGUUGGUAAGGUAAUGGCUUACCAAGGCGACGAUCAGUAUCUGGUUUGAGAGGACGAUCAGACACACUGGAACUGAGACACGGUCCAGACUCCUACGGGAGGCAGCAGUGGGGAAUUUUCCGCAAUGGGCGAAAGCCUGACGGAGCAAUACCGCGUGAGGGAUGAAUGCCUAUGGGUUGUAAACCUCUUUUUUCAGGGAGGAACAAAAUGACGUGUACCUGAAGAAUAAGCAUCGGCUAACUCCGUGCCAGCAGCCGCGGUAAGACGGAGGAUGCAAGUGUUAUCCGGAAUCACUGGGCGUAAAGCGUCUGUAGGUGGUUUAAUAAGUCAACUGUUAAAUCUUGAGGCUCAACCUCGAAACCGCAGUCGAAACUAUUAGACUAGAGUAUAGUAGGGGUAAAGGGAAUUUCCAGUGGAGCGGUGAAAUGCGUAGAGAUUG
This 469-nucleotide ribosomal RNA is filed under the name uncultured diatom. RNAcentral's name for it is "SSU rRNA". It matches the Rfam family "Bacterial small subunit ribosomal RNA", at positions 217 to 699 of the family's 1533-position model. The record is from RNAcentral. Lineage: Eukaryota; Bacillariophyta.